This 833-nucleotide ribosomal RNA is filed under the name Phaeocystis cf. pouchetii. RNAcentral's name for it is "partial large subunit ribosomal RNA". The record is from RNAcentral. Lineage: Eukaryota; Haptophyta; Phaeocystales; Phaeocystaceae.
GUAAUGGCGAAUGAAGCGGGCAGAGCUCACGCCGGAAAUCCGGAGGCCUGUUACAGCCGCCUCCUGAAUUGUAGUCUGGAGAGGUGCCAUCGGUCCCCCUCGGCGCCAAAAUCCCUUGGAACGGGGUAUCGGAGAAGGUGAGAAUCCUGUCAAGCGCCGGAGUGGGACCGUACGAUGUGCUCUCGUAGAGUCGGGCUGCUUGGGAGUGCAGCCUGAAGCGGGUGGUAAAUUCCAUCUAAAGCUAAAUACUGGCGGGAGACCGAUAGCGAACAAGUACCGUGAGGGAAAGAUGCAAAGAACUUUGAAAAGAGAGUUAAAGAGUGCUUGAAAUUGGCAGGAGGAAACCCGGUUGCGCGUGGCAUUUGGCGUGGUCGACUCAGCCGCGCGCGGAGAUCUGUAGGGGACCUAACGGCCUCGUGGUCAGCGCGCGCGGUGCACUUCGGCCGCGUCGGUCAGCCGCGUUUCUGCKYGGCCCAUACGGCCGCGGGCAGGGCUUCGGCGCCGCCUGCGGUUUGGGGGUCGCGCGGGAUCCCGGCUGAUGCGCACGGGCGCAACCGACCCGUCUAGAAACACGGACCAAGGAGUCUGACGCGUGUGCGAGUACUAGAGUGGCAAGCUCGAGUGCGCAAUGAAAGUGAAGGGCGUGCCCCGUCAACCGAUCUUGAUCUUCUGUGAAGGGUUUGAGUGGAGCACAUCUGUCGGGACCCGAAAGAUGGUGAACUAUGCCUGAGGAGGGUGAAGCCAGAGGAAACUCUGGUGGAGGCUCGHAGCGAUACUGACGUGCAAAUCGUUCGUCGAACUUGGGUAUAGGGGCGAAAGACUAAUCGAACCAU